GGCAGAGACCAGACCAUCGACGUUAGGCAUGCAGUCGCGUGUAGUGGCAAGCCGCAAGGUUGCUCUCAGAUGCUCAUCAGUCAGUCUUGAUCGUAAUGCUGUUUUGUUGAUCUUCAUUCUGGAUAAAAACUGUUCGCAAACGUACAUACUCCCAAACAUCGCUAGAAUUCUAGCAGCUGCGCAGAAUACGUUUGGAAGCUUCACUCUGGGAAGAAACUGGUAGAAAAUCUGGAACGCCAACAUCAGCGUAUUUUUGCUUCAGAACAGUGUCACACUGCAGGUCCAGUAGAUCCAUCUGGACUUCCUCUGGAACGUUUUUCACGUCAACUGCGAUACAGCAACUCUCCGUAUUCCGUUUCUAAAUCAGCUAGACAUGACACAAACUGUCUGUGGUUGAGACCCCGUGCACGUAUGAAGUUCACCGUCUUUACGACAACAUCCAUCACGUUCUUCAUUUGUAGACUUUUGCCACAGAGUGCUUCUUGGUGCUGAAUGCAAUGUAUGGCUGCAAAAGGUCCCGCCAAGCUGAGCUGAUUCCGUUUCUCUACAAUUAAUCCAACAACACCAACCUUCUCUGAAAACAUUGCUGGUGCACCGUCCGUAGCCACUGAAACAAGUUUUUCUCACGGUAGCCCACAGCUGUCAAUACAAGCUUCCAAAUCUUGAAACACGUCUCGCCCAGUCGUCUUUCCUUUCAUAGGUAGUAAGUCCAAUAGCUCUUCAACAAUGUUCAAGUUUUCGUCGACCCCACGAAUAAAUACAGCACAGUAUGCGGUGUCUGUUACACCAGUAGACUCGUCCAGUGCAAUGGAAUAUGCUACAAAGUCUUUUGCAGCGGCAAUCAGUUGCUGUUGAACAUCUGUCGCUGACUCGCUAGCGGCCAGCGGUUAGAAUCAGGCCACCGUUCACCCAGUUUCUUCUGAAAGCCUAAGCGGUCGGUGGGCGACAGUGACACCUCAUUUACUGAUUUGUGGAGUUGUAAAUCAUUUCACGGCUGAUAUGUGGUCAUUGUAAAUUUUAUCUAUUUUUUUUUAAAUUUGCGUAAGUGUCCGCGGGCCACGUGUUUGAGACCCCUGCUUUAAGGAAACAGUUUGUGAAACACUGUUCUAGUGACACACGUUUAGUUGCUCAUGCUAUAGCGCCGACUUUUAUCUAGGUUUGCUCUCAGUGGACAGUGACUUGAAAUACCCUCCCGUCUAAAAAAUUAGUAUAUGAAAAAGAAAAUAUUAAAAAAUACUUUUAGAAAAAAACUGUACAAACUUUUUACCAGACAGACAGAGAGAGUUGAUAUACGCUUAGUAAAAAAAAAUGUGUGGCCGCCUGUUCGAGUGAUAUGCGUUUUAAUGCUAGUCGUCAAUGACGUCAUCCCCUGACGUCACGCAUGAGGUUUGGUCUGGAAUGAAUUAUCUUCAUUUCAAAAUAAGUGUACGAAACUUGAAAAAACAAAACUUUAAAUUGGGAGAUCACUUACACAAUCAACCUGUCUUUACACAGCUUAGAUCAACUCACUCUGUCUGGUCUAAAGUUUUAACACGUUAUUUCUCCCAUACCCAUUCUUGGAUCCUGCUUAAAUUUUGCACAAUUAUUCCUCGGUGAAGUAAAUACAUGAAUCGAUAACAAAAAAAAUUAACCAAUUAAUCAAUUUUUAAGUACUGGUAAUUAAAUAUUUUGUUUAAUGCCAACAAAGGAAAUUAAUCAUUUAACAGUCACAGAUAUGCUAAAUAUGUAAUGUAGGGUUUCGUCCCCAUAGAUAAUUGUACACGUUAUUUCUCCCACAUCUAUUUUCGGAUCAAGUUGAAACUUUAAACAUUAAUUUUUUUUGUACCUAAAAAAAACAUGAAUCAAUUAAAAGUUAACCAAUUUGCCAAUGGACCUCAUUCACCAAUUGUAAACAAACAACAUUUAGUCACGUGAUUUUAUUGUUAAAACAACGGAAAAAACUGUCACGUGGCAACCAACAUGAAUUAAACACGAGAUCGUUAAUUAUAUAGAAGAGAUAGAAAACCACGUGGCUAAAUGUUGUUUGUUUACGAUUCGUGAAUGAGGUCCAUUAUAUAUUGGUUAUCAAUUAUUUUGAUAUGGAAAAAUUAAAAUAGCUUCUACAAUAUUGAAAUUUAUUGUUGCGAAGAUGGAGUUCUUCCUCCUAUAAAAGUUUUUUUUUUUAAAGUAUUUCUAUAUUUUGCCUUUUUCUUGUUCCUAUUCGUGUCCAGAUUGUGUAUCCAGUACUUCUGAAAGACCUUUUUGUUCCAGGUUAUUUGCAUUGCUGGAUAGGAGUAAGAUCAUUCAAAAAUCUAUUCAGAAAAGCAACAAGUACACUACAAACUUAAAUUCCUGUUUUUUUUUUUUUUUUUAAAUUAGAUUUUAGAUCUAUAUCUAGACUUAGCUAUCACAAUGGCUUGUUCAAUUAAAUGAAUCAUCUGAACAUGUUAAGAGGUGGGGAAGUUAACAACGUACACACAUUCUACAUUCGUAAAAUGUUUUAUAUGUUUCGUAUGUUCCUUCAGGAGUUGAAGAUAAUUAAUUGCUAGUCCAAACCUCCCGCAGGACGACGGGGGAUGGGAGCGGGCAGGGUUUGAAUCCGGGACCCUCGAUGAAUCUGAACGACAGUCCAGCGUGCAAACCGCACGACCAGGCAGCCAUCCUCGACCAGGCAGCCAUUCAAACAAUGAAUGACAAUUGAUCUAUAUUUGUUUUGAUAGUAUUCCUUCUUAUUUAGAUCGAUCUAAAAUUACUUAAUUCGAGAUCAUCUAAAAUUUAGAGCAUUUAAAGUUUAAAAAAGAAAAAGCGAAGACCAGAAAGUGAGGACUUAAAAUUAUAAAUGAUGGCUCCCCAUGUCUUAGAAGACAAUGGAUGCUCCCAUUAGAUCUAUAAAAAAAGAUGACUUCCGCAACACGUUUUUAUUAUUGACGUCUGAAACUAACAUGACUAGCUAGCUCUAUUGACUAUUAGACUUUAAUUUACAGUCUGGUAUAUAGACGCUAGAUAUUUCAUCACGGUAAUCUAGAUCUUUAUAGUUACUAGAUCUAGAAUCUACUCUAGUAUUUUCUGAAUUAUUCAUAAAUUUCAUACGAUGGCGUCGAUGGCGAUGAAGACCACAGCCCAGGUACACUCACUCAGCCGCGAGUGGUACAGUAUUCAAGGAAUUUUAGCCACAUACAUGGAAAGAGUUAACUGUGGUGGAGACUACAGUUUGGGUCUAACUAAGAUCAAGAAGCAUGUGAUUGUCUGUUCUACAACAUUAUCUCUUGACAGCCUGAUAGACUUCCUGAAUGAGUUUUAUGGUAAUCCUAACUUAGAGAGAAGAGAAGGGUUUCUCCUAAUUGCAGUUUUGUUUCACCGAAUGUGUUCCAUCGAACUUCACUCAUUCCCAGGAUCUGUAGUUUGUAGUUGGCCAUUUCCUUUGCAAUUUGUGCACAUCUACCUGGUUCUAGUAAAGUACGGACAUUCCAUGUUCCCAAGUUAAAUGCUGCCUUCUGAAUAAGGAAGUGUUUCUUUUUCAUUGGUUUAAGUAGAGUGGUCGGCCUCACAGGAUUCGUUCGACUUUCCCUGCAUAGCUUCAUAAGUCUCCUUUGUGGAGCUCUACUUUCGCCUCUGACAAUGUUUAGUGUUUGUGUUUUUGUUCUGGUUUCUAUAACACUAUUUUUUCAAUGGACAGGUUGUUAGCCUAUCAAACAAUACCUGUGUCCCGGGAAGGGGGAUGCACCUUUUGUCUGGCCUCUUUCCUAGCAGACCUGUCUGGCUUGGUAGUACCUGCCAGGAGUGAUGAGCUCCCGCCGGUAUAGCUCUGAGGGUCAUUGAGGCACUCAAGCUGUCACACCACGGCAAGGUAUGUGCAUCAGGUGUGCAUCUAGCGCGUCAGAUAUUUACACAGUUAAAACCAACCUGGAAAUCUCCUCACAUCUCAAACAAGACUAAACUAAGAAUCUUUAACUCUAAUGUCAAGGCUGUCCUACUGUAUGGUUCUGAAACAUGGAGAACAACUGAAGCCACAACAAAAAAAAAAUACAGACCUUCAUCAACAGAUGCCUGAGAAAUAUCCUAAAAAAUACACUGGUAUGACAAAUUAGAAAACACCAAACUGUGGGAGAUGAGUGGACAGAAAAAUAUAGAAGUGCCGAUCUUAGAGAGGAAGUGGAGAUGGAUUGGUCACACCCUUAGAAAAGAUACCAGCAACAGAGCUAGGCAGGCCUUAGAGUGGAACCCCCAGGGAGCAAGACUCAGAGGAUAACCAAAAAGAACAUGGCGACGCAGUGUACUUGAAGAAGCAGAGAAGACCGGUAAGAGCUGGGAAACCAUUAAAAAACUAGCAAGAGACUGUGGAGAGUGGCAUGUUUUUGUCGAGGCCCUAUGUUCCAUGAGGAACUCAAAGGAGUGAUGAUGAUGAUGGAAACUGAGCAUCACUAGUCUUUGGCAAACUCACAACAAACAUUUUUCAAAGACAUGAAACAGCUGGGACUAAGGGUUAGAUUAUGUCAGGGUAGACAAAAUCAUAGGCAAAUACAAUAAGUUCUUAGCAACUUGAAAUAUGGUGUCUAAAUGUAGCCUUCUUUAUUUCAUUGUUGUAAUGACCAAAUGAUGACAGACAAUUAAUGCGUGUAUAUUCCGCAUUCCACAUUUUUCAUUCCAACAAGGACAUCUGUAC
This is a long non-coding RNA of Biomphalaria glabrata, 4642 nucleotides long. RefSeq lists it as uncharacterized. The record is from RefSeq and is a predicted model, not a curated record. The transcript has 3 exons. Lineage: Eukaryota; Metazoa; Mollusca; Gastropoda; Planorbidae.